Molecule: transfer RNA, 74 nt
Filed under: Paludisphaera sp.
Lineage: Bacteria; Pseudomonadati; Planctomycetota; Planctomycetia; Isosphaerales; Isosphaeraceae
Also listed under: 2 other names
Description: tRNA-Asp
Rfam family: tRNA
About the family: Transfer RNA (tRNA) molecules are approximately 80 nucleotides in length. Their secondary structure includes four short double-helical elements and three loops (D, anti-codon, and T loops). Further hydrogen bonds mediate the characteristic L-shaped molecular structure. tRNAs have two regions of fundamental functional importance: the anti-codon, which is responsible for specific mRNA codon recognition, and the 3' end, to which the tRNAs corresponding amino acid is attached (by aminoacyl-tRNA synthetases). tRNAs cope with the degeneracy of the genetic code in two manners: having more than one tRNA (with a specific anti-codon) for a particular amino acid; and 'wobble' base-pairing, i.e. permitting non-standard base-pairing at the 3rd anti-codon position.
Source: RNAcentral
GGGGAUGUAGCUCAACUGGUUAGAGCACCGGCCUGUCACGCCGGAGGUUGCGGGUUCGAAUCCCGUCAUCCUCG